AUACGGAGGAUCCGAGCGUUAUCCGGAUUUAUUGGGCUUAAAGGGUGCGCAGGCGGGAGAUUAAGUCGGCGGUGAAAUUUUGCAGCUCAACUGUAAAAGUGCCUUCGAAACUGGUUUCCUUGAGUGUAGAUGAAGUCGGCGGAAUUUGUGGUGUAGCGGUGAAAUGCAUAGAUAUCACGAGGAACUCCGAUUGCGCAGGCAGCUUACUAAACUACUACUGACGCUCAGGCACGAAUGCGUGGGGAUCAAACAGGAUUAGAUACCCUGGUAGUCCACGCAGUAAACGAUGAUUACUAGCUGUUGGCGACACAAUGUGAGCGGCUGAGCGAAAGCGUUAAGUAAUCCGCCUGGGGAGUACGUUCGCAAGAAUGAAACUCAAAGGAAUUGACGGGG
This 393-nucleotide ribosomal RNA is filed under the name uncultured bacterium. RNAcentral's name for it is "partial 16S ribosomal RNA". It matches the Rfam family "Bacterial small subunit ribosomal RNA", at positions 523 to 918 of the family's 1533-position model. The record is from RNAcentral.